CAGGUGCAUGCCUCUAGCACGAAGUCAGACAAGUGAACCCGCUGAAUU
This 48-nucleotide ribosomal RNA is filed under the name Symbiodinium sp. Four0504-2. RNAcentral's name for it is "partial 28S ribosomal RNA". The record is from RNAcentral. Lineage: Eukaryota; Dinophyceae; Suessiales; Symbiodiniaceae.